CCUACGGGGGGCUGCAGUGGGGAAUAUUGGACAAUGGGGGCAACCCUGAUCCAGCCAUGCCGCGUGUGUGAAGAAGGCCCUCGGGUUGUAAAGCACUUUCAGUGAGGAAGAACGCCUGGUGGUUAAUACCCAUCAGGAAAGACAUCACUCACAGAAGAAGCACCGGCUAACUCCGUGCCAGCAGCCGCGGUAAUACGGAGGGUGCGAGCGAUAAUCGGAAUUACUGGGCGUAAAGCGCGCGUAGGUGGCUUGAUAAGCCGGUUGUGAAAGCCCCGGGCUCAACCUGGGAACGGCAUCCGGAACUGUCAAGCUAGAGUGCAGGAGAGGAAGGUAGAAUUCCCGGUGUAGCGGUGAAAUGCGUAGAGAUCGGGAGGAAUACCAGUGGCGAAGGCGGCCUUCUGGACUGACACUGACACUGAGGUGCGAAAGCGUGGGUAGCAAACAGGAUUAGAUACCCGUGUAGUC
RNAcentral lists this ribosomal RNA (465 nucleotides) under Vreelandella stevensii. RNAcentral's name for it is "partial 16S ribosomal RNA". It matches the Rfam family "Bacterial small subunit ribosomal RNA", at positions 338 to 795 of the family's 1533-position model. The record is from RNAcentral. Lineage: Bacteria; Pseudomonadati; Pseudomonadota; Gammaproteobacteria; Oceanospirillales; Halomonadaceae.